Molecule: non-coding RNA, 63 nt
Organism: Rattus norvegicus (Norway rat)
Lineage: Eukaryota; Metazoa; Chordata; Mammalia; Rodentia; Muridae
Source: Rfam
GGGGAUUUAGCUCAGUGGUAGAGUGCUUGCCUAGCAAGCGCAAGGCCCUGGAUUCAGUCCCCA